GCCAGCAGCCAUAUCGCCCUGCAACUCACAACUGGCAGCCCACUGAAGCCAAGCAGAUCUGAGCCUGGUCAGUACCUGGAUAGGAGACCUCCUGGGAAAAACUAAGGUUGCUGCUGGAA
This is a ribosomal RNA of Lepisosteus oculatus (spotted gar), 119 nucleotides long. NCBI's taxonomy places the organism in Eukaryota, Metazoa, Chordata, Actinopteri, Semionotiformes, Lepisosteidae. The record is from Rfam.